AGAGUUUGAUCCUGGCUCAGGAUGAACGCUGGCGGCGUGCCUAAUACAUGCAAGUCGAGCGAACGGACGAGAAGCUUGCUUCUCUGAUGUUAGCGGCGGACGGGUGAGUAACACGUGGAUAACCUACCUAUAAGACUGGGAUAACUUCGGGAAACCGGAGCUAAUACCGGAUAAUAUUUUGAACCGCAUGGUUCAAAAGUGAAAGACGGUCUUGCUGUCACUUAUAGAUGGAUCCGCGCUGCAUUAGCUAGUUGGUAAGGUAACGGCUUACCAAGGCAACGAUGCAUAGCCGACCUGAGAGGGUGAUCGGCCACACUGGAACUGAGACACGGUCCAGACUCCUACGGGAGGCAGCAGUAGGGAAUCUUCCGCAAUGGGCGAAAGCCUGACGGAGCAACGCCGCGUGAGUGAUGAAGGUCUUCGGAUCGUAAAACUCUGUUAUUAGGGAAGAACAUAUGUGUAAGUAACUGUGCACAUCUUGACGGUACCUAAUCAGAAAGCCACGGCUAACUACGUGCCAGCAGCCGCGGUAAUACGUAGGUGGCAAGCGUUAUCCGGAAUUAUUGGGACGUAAAGCGCGCGUAGGCGGUUUUUUUAAGUCUGAUGUGAAAGCCCACGGCUCAACCGUGGAGGGUCAUUGGAAACUGGAAAACUUGAGUGCAGAAGAGGAAAGUGGAAUUCCAUGUGUAGCGGUGAAAUGCGCAGAGAUAUGGAGGAACACCAGUGGCGAAGGCGACUUUCUGGUCUGUAACUGACGCUGAUGUGCGAAAGCGUGGGGAUCAAACAGGAUUAGAUACCCUGGUAGUCCACGCCGUAAACGAUGAGUGCUAAGUGUUAGGGGGUUUCCGCCCCUUAGUGCUGCAGCUAACGCAUUAAGCACUCCGCCUGGGGAGUACGACCGCAAGGUUGAAACUCAAAGGAAUUGACGGGGACCCGCACAAGCGGUGGAGCAUGUGGUUUAAUUCGAAGCAACGCGAAGAACCUUACCAAAUCUUGACAUCCUUUGACAACUCUAGAGAUAGAGCCUUCCCCUUCGGGGGACAAAGUGACAGGUGGUGCAUGGUUGUCGUCAGCUCGUGUCGUGAGAUGUUGGGUUAAGUCCCGCAACGAGCGCAACCCUUAAGCUUAGUUGCCAUCAUUAAGUUGGGCACUCUAAGUUGACUGCCGGUGACAAACCGGAGGAAGGUGGGGAUGACGUCAAAUCAUCAUGCCCCUUAUGAUUUGGGCUACACACGUGCUACAAUGGACAAUACAAAGGGCAGCGAAACCGCGAGGUCAAGCAAAUCCCAUAAAGUUGUUCUCAGUUCGGAUUGUAGUCUGCAACUCGACUACAUGAAGCUGGAAUCGCUAGUAAUCGUAGAUCAGCAUGCUACGGUGAAUACGUUCCCGGGUCUUGUACACACCGCCCGUCACACCACGAGAGUUUGUAACACCCGAAGCCGGUGGAGUAACCUUUUAGGAGCUAGCCGUCGAAGGUGGGACAAAUGAUUGGGGUGAAGUCGUAACAAGGUAGCCGUAUCGGAAGGUGCGGCUGGAUCACCU
Molecule: ribosomal RNA, 1542 nt
Filed under: Staphylococcus aureus subsp. aureus CIG1242
Lineage: Bacteria; Bacillati; Bacillota; Bacilli; Caryophanales; Staphylococcaceae
Description: 16S ribosomal RNA
Rfam family: Bacterial small subunit ribosomal RNA
Source: RNAcentral